AUGGCGAUCCGCGCAGAAUCGUUGUCGGCGGGAUGGACCGGGAAUAAUCUUGAGGAGCUGCUGCAGCAUCUGGAUCUUCAGGAUGACGAGCUCGAUGAUGUGGUGGUGGGGGAAGAAGAUGUGAAGAAGUUUGAAGCGGACGCAAGAUGGUUGGCGAUCGGGAAGGUGAACACGACUCGCCCCUUCAGUUCAUCGUCGAUGUUUGAGUGCAUGAAGUCAAUCUGGUCGCUCGCGCAAGUCCCAAAGUACAGGGAGGCAGGAGAAAACCUGUUUAUUUUCCAGAUGUUCUGUCUUGGUGAUUGGAAGAAGGUUGUGCAUGGAGGCCCAUGGCUUUUCAGGGGGAUGGGGAUGCUGAUCGAAGAUUAUGAUGGAAAGAAGGAACCAACAUCUUUUGAAUUUGAUGGAUUAUACGUGUGGGCUCAGAUCCAUAAUAUACCUAAACUCUACCGCAAGGUAGAGGUCGUAGAUCAAUUAGCCCGUCGCAUCGGGCGGGUGAAAGAAAUUCAGCUUGCCCCUAGGCUGUAUUAUGAAGGUGAU
Molecule: ribosomal RNA, 537 nt
Filed under: Triticum aestivum (bread wheat)
Lineage: Eukaryota; Viridiplantae; Streptophyta; Magnoliopsida; Poales; Poaceae
Description: partial small subunit ribosomal RNA
Source: RNAcentral